CCUACGGGUGGCAGCAGUGGGGGAUAUUGCACAAUGGGGGAAACCCUGAUGCAGUGAAGCCGCGUGGGCGACGAAGUAUUUCGGUAUGUAAAGCCCUAUCAGCAGGGAAGAAGAAAUGACGGUACCUGAGUAAGAAGCACCGGCUAAAUACGUGCCAGCAGCCGCGGUCAUACGUAUGGUGCAAGUGUUAUCCGGAAUUACUGGGUGUAAAGGGGGUGUUGGCGGUACGGCAAGCCUGGUGUGAAAGCCCGCGGACCAACCGCGGGACUGCAUUGGGAACUACCGGGCUGGAGUGCCGGAGAGGUAUGCGGAAUGCCGAGUGUAGCGGUGAAAUGCGUAGAUAUUAGGAGGAACACCAGUGGCGAAGGCGGCCUACUGGACGCUGACUGACGCUGAGGCACGAAAGCGUGGGGAGCGAACAGGAUUAGAUACCCGAGUAGUC
RNAcentral lists this ribosomal RNA (442 nucleotides) under uncultured bacterium. Its description in RNAcentral is "partial 16S ribosomal RNA". It matches the Rfam family "Bacterial small subunit ribosomal RNA", at positions 338 to 795 of the family's 1533-position model. The record is from RNAcentral.